Long non-coding RNA from Acinonyx jubatus (cheetah), 5543 nucleotides. RefSeq lists it as uncharacterized. Lineage: Eukaryota; Metazoa; Chordata; Mammalia; Carnivora; Felidae. The transcript has 2 exons. The record is from RefSeq and is a predicted model, not a curated record.
AGAAUAUACUAUCUGGAGCAGAAUUAAACAGAAACGUUUAACAGAGAAUGAAUCUAUUUCAUUAUAUUUUAGGGUCGAUGUGGUUUGACGUAUGACGUACUUACACGACCAACCAUGUGACCUUGGCAAGUUAAUAAUCUCUCUGGGUUUUAGUGUCUUCAUCUGAAACAAUGGAGAUGGCAGUAUUUCCUGCCUGAUACGGUACACCUGGAAUUGUGCCUGGCACCUAGUAAACACUACUGAAGUGUGUUAUUUUAUCAUUAAUACAUGUGAUAUGUACAAGUGUUAUAUUUUAUUAUUAAUACAUGUGACAGUAGGAUACAGAGCUGGAAACAGAAGGAUCAACUGAAAUAGCCCACUGUUUGAGGGACCUGCCUAGGGACGCCAGCUGGAUGUUGUUGCACUUGAGAGGAGCCCCAGUCACAAAAUGAUAACGUGUUGUUGAAGGUAUUUUAUAUCUACAGCUUACCUGUAAAUAUCUCAGGGAAGAUGCUACCGUUUGACAUCAGCCCCUUCACCCCACCCCCAAAACCCAGAUCCAGUCAGUGCAGUCCUUACCUCAAACUCAAAUAGACUACCCCUCACUCAAAUCUAUAUUGGUUAUACCAAUUGAUUUUCUGUUCAAAAAUAAUAUCUGAAACAAACUUCAAAAUCUAUAUACAUAAGGUGUAUUGAAUUUCUACAAGAGCUUAAGGUAGUUGGCUUUUAGGCUUUCAUUUUAGGUUAUUGAUCUCGUAAACUAUUAACUAUCGUUGAAAGGUGAAUGUUUUUUUAUUGAGGUAUAAUUGACGUAUUAGUUUCAGAUGUACAACGUAAGAUUCAACCUUUGUGUAUGUUGUAUAGAUUGAUCACCACAGUCUAAGUCUAGUUAACAUCUGAUACUGUAUUUAGUUACAAAAUUUUUUUUCUUGUGAUUAGAACUUUUGAGAUCCAUUCUGUUAGCAACUUUCAAAUAUGUAAUAUGGUAUUAUUAACUAUAGUCUCUCAUGCUAUAUAUUGUAUGCUGUACCUUAUAUCACCAUGACUUACUUAUUUUACAACUGAAAGUCUGUACCUUUUGACCUGUGUCACCCAUUUCACCCUUUUCCCCUGACCCUUGCCUUUGGCAACAACCAAUCUAUUCUUUGUGUCUGUGAGCUUGGGUUUUUGUUUUUAUUUUGGAUUUCACAAAUAAGUGAGAUCAUAACAGUGUUUGUCUUUCUCUGUCUGACUUAUUUCACUUAGCAUAGUGCCCUCAGGGACCAUCCAUGUUGUUGCAAAUAGAAAGAUUUGCAUUUUUAUGGCUGAAUAAUAUCCCACUGUGUGUGUGUGUGUGUGUGUGUGUGUGUGUGUGUGUGUGUGUGUGUGUAUGUGUCACAUCUUCUUCAUCCAUUCAGCCAUCGAUGGACACUUGGUUUGUUUCCAUAUUUGGCUGUUGUUGGUAAUGCUGCAAUGAACAUGGGGGUACAGAUAUCUUUUCAAGUUAGUGUUUCUUCAAAUAAAUACCCAGAAGUGAAAUGGCUGGAUUAUAUAGUAGUUUUCUUUUUAAUUUUUGAGGAAUCUCCAUACUGUUUUCCAUAGUGGCUUGCACCAAGUUUACAUUCCCACCAAUAGUCACAAGAGUUUCCUUUUUUCCACAUCCUCACCAGUGCUUAUUUCUUGUAUUUUUGAUAAGACCCAUUCUAUUAUCUACACUCACAGGUGUGAGGUGAUAGAUAGCUCAUUGUGGCUUUGAUUUGUACUUUCCUAAUAAUGAGUGAUGUUGAGCACCUUUUCAUGUACCUGUUGGCCAUCUGGAUGUCUUCUUUGGAAGAUAUCUGCUCAGAUCCUGUGUGUGUGUGCAUGCACUAUUGUGUUACAUGAGGUCUUUAUAUAUUUUGGAUGUUAACCCCUUGUCACGUAUACGAUUUGCAAAUAUUUUCUCCUAUUCUGUAGGUUGCCUUUUCAUUUUAUUGGUGGUUUCCUUUGCUGUGCAGAAGCUUUUUGGUUUGAUGUCAUUCCAGUGUUUAUUUUUGCUUUUGCUGCCUUUUUUUUUUCAAUGUUUAUUUAUCUUUGAGAGAGAGAGAAAGAGAGACAGAGUACAAGUUGGGGAGGGCAGAGGAAGAGGGAGACACAGAAUUUGAAGCAGGCUCCAGGCUCUGAACUGUCAGUACAGAGCCUGACAUGGGGCUCAAACCCACGAACUGUGAGAUCGUGACCUGAGCUGAAGUCAGAUGCUUAACUGAGUGAGCCACUCAGGCGCCCCUGCUUUUGCUGCCUUUGCCUUUGGUGUCAGAUGGCUGCCUUUUAAAAGUUUGAUUUAGGAGGAUUGUAUUUACAGUCCAAAGUUGUAUAAUCAUCUUUAAAAGUGACUGUCAAAUUAAUUUUUUUUUGUUUGGUAGAAUUCUAAAUGCAUGAAAAUAGCUUUAAGAAAUGGAACUUGAGGGGCGCCUAGAUGGCUCAGUUGGUUAAGCAUCUGACCCUUGAUUUCACCUCAGGUCAUGAUCCCAGUGUCCUGGGAUAGAGCCCUGUGUCAGGCUCCACACUGAGCACGGACCCUGCCUGGAUUCUCUCUCUCCUCCUGCUCUCUCCCUCUCUCUCUCAGCGUCACCCACCCCCCCCAUCUGCCCCUCUACCCACCUUGCACAUGCUCGCUCUCUCUCAAAAUAAAUAUAAAAAAAAUGGAACUUCAGCAGUAAUUUCAUUUCCAACUCAAUAAACACAUGAUACUUUGCUACCAUUUUGGUAGUGUUAUAAGUGGAUUGACUAUUUCUGGUGUUCUAAGUGUGCUGCUCUGGGGAUAUUCAAGGUGCUAUUUAAUGUAAUGAUGUCUUUCUGGACUUCUGUAAACUUAUGUGUUUGGUCUGGUGAAGAUAUAUUUUUUGAGAGAAAAUAUUCUCUUGUGGAGUGUGAACAUUAUCUGCCUUUACACCUAGCUUAUGUGAAAAAUUGUCUGCUUUGUGUGCUAUAGUUUCAGUCGCUAAAAAUAGUAUUGUGAGCUUAGUUGCUUUUCUUUAAGUAGAUAUACCGUGACAGCCAAAUUUGUCAAGAAACCGUCGAAGAUGUGAGUAUUGAACUAUGAAAAUGAGAUUUCAAAGGAGUGACAGUCGACCAAGAGUGAGGGCAGAUCAGAUAGGACCGCUGAAGUUGUGGAGAAGAUGGUGUUAUGUUGGGGAGUCUGUGAGGAGGAACAUACGAAUAUAGACAAGUCUGCUUUUGCAUCUUGGAUUUCAUAAGAUUUUUGAGCCAGUUUUGCAGGUAUGUAUCAAAAGAGAAAGGGGAAAGCAGGGUUGAUGGGGGAGAAUGGAGAAAAAAGGAGAAGGGGAAGGAAUACACUUUGAAUUUAUCCUGCAAGUACUUAAAAUUAUUAACAGAUCCAUAAUGCAUUGUGCCAAAGGUGACUUAGCUUGAAAGCGAGCUAGCCUGGAGCAGACAUGACUACCUGGGGCGGGGGGUGGGGGGGGGGUGCUGCUCUCAGCAGAAUAAGAGACACAGUUUAAUAUAAAAAGGACAAGAUCCCUUAUCUGAGGGGGAUAUAACUUGAGAGGUCAUAGAACAUUGUAUCUAAGAAACAGUUGCCAAAGCAGAUAUUACAAUGAAAAGUAAGGACAGUAGACUUAACAUGAUCUUGUCUUAUUAACUGAUAAGAAAAUCUAGUUUUGGAAAUACGUAAAUACAUACACGUACACACACGUACAUGAGACACACAGAUAUACAUAUAUAUGUAUUUCUGUAGUUUUGAUGUUACAUCCCUUGAAAUAAAUUUUUAUUUAUCCUGUAUUUUUUAUUAUACGUCACAAUUUUCACAUCUUCGUCAUGAUUUCAGUCCGUCCUCAGAGCAACACCAUGAAUCAGUAGGUGGCUUCCUCAUUCUUCAGAUGAGGACCGAGGCCACAUUGGUUGCAUGGCCUGCCCCGGGGAGUAGUAGGUGUGGGUCCACAGCCCAGGCCUUCGAGCCUCACUGCACAGUGAUUGUGUAAAGUGGAGAACAGGGGCACAGGGGGAACACUGCAACAGCUUUGAUUUUGGAAAAUAAGUUUUGUUUUAAAAAAUUUUUUUUUCAACGUUUAUUUAUUUUUGGGACAGAGAGAGCAUGAACGGGGGAGGGGCAGAGAGAGAGGGAGACACAGAAUCGGAAGCAGGCUCCAGGCUCUGAGCCAUCAGCCCAGAGCCUGACGCGGGGCUCGAACUCCCGGACCGCGAGAUCGUGACCUGGCUGAAGUCGGACGUUUAACCGACUGCACCACCCAGGCGCCCCAUAAGUUUUGUUUUUUAAAUGUUUAUUUAUUUUGAGGGAGAGUGAGCGUAUGCAUGAGUGGGGGAAAAGACAGAGAGGGAGGGAGACAGAGAUUCCCAGGCAGGCUUCCUGCUGUCAGCACAGACCCGACGUGAGGCUCAGUCUCACAAACCGUGAGAUCAUCACUGGAGCCAAAAGGAACUGACUGAGCCUCCCAGGCGCCCCUGGAAAAUAAGUCUUUAAAUGUUGAUCGGUAAUUGAUGUUGGGACGGAUGAAGUCUGGCUAAGCUUCAUCAGGGGAGAUCAUGCAGAGUAGCGGUCUUUGUGAACCAGCGAGAGCAUACACUUAGAUCCGAACUGAGGUUUCCAGACUUAAAGAAAUUGGUGUAUGGAUACUGAUUUGACUGUUUCCACUUCCAGAGAAGUUUCAAGUUGGAAAGAAGAGGCAGGAGGAUUUUAAUUAAAUCUUAUGAAAUCUUCAACAUCCACAAUCAGCGUGUCAGAGCCCAGCAUCUGUUUUGUGACCAGACUUUUUGUGUAUUAUAUUACUCGGUGCGAGGGCCUGAUGUGAUUAUGUGGUCAAGAACAGUUGGGCAGAACUGUUAAAUCAUUAGUUUCUGUCUUAGUGCCCACAGCCUCACUUUCUUAGGGUUGUUUUUCAGUUCUGUGAAACAAUGUAUAUUUGCAAACACCUCAUCAGUGGCUCAGUGUCCUAAUCUUUUACUUUAAAAUCUAUUCUCAAAAGAGAUCCCCUCACUUCCCAUGAACUAUUUCAAUUGAGUCCCAAACCUUAUGUUAACCAGGUGCGAGGGAUUUUGGUGAUGAGGGACAGUAAAUGCAGGAAACGAUGUGUUCCCAUUGCCUAUGAAGACACAGGGUAGUUCUGAGGUAGCCUUUACCCAUACCAGCUACCCAGUCCAGGCCUUAAUUAUCCAGAUUCUUGUAGGUAUCUUGUCGGUAUCCAGAUUCCUUCUUGCAGGAGGAAAAGACUACCAGAAUUCUUCAGAGCAAACAUUGUAACCCACUAGAAGAACUUACGUUUUUGAAGAAAAUAGGUAACGCUUAGCUAGAAGACAGUGUUACCAUAGCUUUUGCUUUCUCUAAGAAACGUUUUGUUAAACAAAAGGUCAUGUAUUUAAUCAAAGAAAUGAGGGGCGCCUGGGUGGCUCAGUUGGUUAAGUGUCUGGCUCUUCAUUUUGGCUCAGGUCAUGAUCUCACAGUUUGUGGGUUUGAGCCCCAUGUCGGGCUCUGUGCUGACGGCUCAGAGCCUGGAGCCUGCUUCAGAUUCUCUGUCUCCAUCGCUCUCUGCCCCUCCCGUUUGUGCGCGCGCGCUCUCUCUCUCUCUCUC